UACAGAGUAACUAGAAAGCGUUAAGUGUCUAAUCAUGGGAUGUCGGAUUAGAACGAACACGAAAGUGGCGGUUUUCUAGUGCGUCCGCUGUA
Tenericutes bacterium GWD2_38_27 is the source of this 92-nucleotide non-coding RNA. The record is from Rfam. Lineage: Bacteria; Bacillati; Mycoplasmatota.